AUUGAACGCUGGCGGCAGGCCUAACACAUGCAAGUCGAACGGUAACAGGAAGAAGCUUGCUUCUUUGCUGACGAGUGGCGGACGGGUGAGUCAUGUCUGGGAAACUGCCUGAUGGAGGGGGAUAACUACUGGAAACGGUAGCUAAUACCGCAUAACGUCGCAAGACCAAAGAGGGGGACCUUCGGGCCUCUUGCCAUCGGAUGUGCCCAGAUGGGAUUAGCUAGUAGGUGGGGUAACGGCUCACCUAGGCGACGAUCCCUAGCUGGUCUGAGAGGAUGACCAGCCACACUGGAACUGAGACACGGUCCAGACUCCUACGGGAGGCAGCAGUGGGGAAUAUUGCGCAAUGGGCGCAAGCCUGAUGCAGCCAUGCCGCGUGUAUGAAGAAGGCCUUCGGGUUGUAAAGUACUGUCAGCGGGGAGGAAGGGAGUAAAGUUAAUACCUUUGCUCAUUGACGUUACCCGCAGAAGAAGCACCGGCUAACUCCGUG
This 490-nucleotide ribosomal RNA is filed under the name uncultured bacterium. RNAcentral's name for it is "partial 16S ribosomal RNA". It matches the Rfam family "Bacterial small subunit ribosomal RNA", at positions 30 to 507 of the family's 1533-position model. The record is from RNAcentral.